RNAcentral lists this non-coding RNA (31 nucleotides) under Mus musculus (house mouse). Lineage: Eukaryota; Metazoa; Chordata; Mammalia; Rodentia; Muridae. The record is from RNAcentral.
UACUCAUGUGCAGUAAGUACUUCCUUGGGUC